AUCGAAAUGACGAGUCCCAAAUAGGAUGAAACGCAUGUCCUGAAU
Molecule: non-coding RNA, 45 nt
Filed under: Schistosoma margrebowiei
Lineage: Eukaryota; Metazoa; Platyhelminthes; Trematoda; Strigeidida; Schistosomatidae
Source: RNAcentral